This 251-nucleotide ribosomal RNA is filed under the name uncultured bacterium. RNAcentral describes it as "partial 16S ribosomal RNA". It matches the Rfam family "Bacterial small subunit ribosomal RNA", at positions 524 to 776 of the family's 1533-position model. The record is from RNAcentral.
GACGGGGGGGGCAAGUGUUCUUCGGAAUGACUGGGCGUAAAGGGCACGUAGGCGGUGAAUCGGGUUGAAAGUGAAAGUCGCCAAAAAGUGGCGGAAUGCUCUCGAAACCAAUUCACUUGAGUGAGACAGAGGAGAGUGGAAUUUCGUGUGUAGGGGUGAAAUCCGUAAAUAUACGAAGGAACGCCAAAAGCGAAGGCAGCUCUCUGGGACGGUACUGACGCUGGGGUGCGAAAGCAUGGGGAGCGAACAGG